This 57-nucleotide ribosomal RNA is filed under the name Escherichia coli. RNAcentral describes it as "partial ribosomal RNA". Lineage: Bacteria; Pseudomonadati; Pseudomonadota; Gammaproteobacteria; Enterobacterales; Enterobacteriaceae. The record is from RNAcentral.
GAUCCUGUCUGAAUAUGGGGGGACCAUCCUCCAAGGCUAAAUACUCCUGACUGACCG